Molecule: ribosomal RNA, 433 nt
Filed under: uncultured bacterium
Lineage: Bacteria
Description: partial 16S ribosomal RNA
Rfam family: Bacterial small subunit ribosomal RNA
Source: RNAcentral
AACGAACGCUGGCGGCAUGCCUAACACAUGCAAGUCGAACGAGACCUUCGGGUCUAGUGGCGCACGGGUGCGUAACGCGUGGGAACCUGCCCUUAGGUUCGGAAUAACUCCCCGAAAGGGGUGCUAAUGCCGGAUAAUGUCUUCGGACCAAAGAUUUAUCGCCUUUGGAUGGGCCCGCGUUGGAUUAGCUAGUUGGUAGGGUAAAAGCCUACCAAGGCGACGAUCCAUAGCUGGUCUGAGAGGAUGAUCAGCCACACUGGGACUGAGACACGGCCCAGACUCCUACGGGAGGCAGCAGUGGGGAAUAUUGGACAAUGGGCGAAAGCCUGAUCCAGCAAUGCCGCGCGAGUGAUGAAGGCCUUAGGGUUGUAAAGCUCUUUUACCCGGGAUGAUAAUGACAGUACCGGGAGAAUAAGCUCCGGCUAACUCCGUG